Molecule: ribosomal RNA, 676 nt
Filed under: uncultured crenarchaeote
Lineage: Archaea; Thermoproteati; Thermoproteota
Description: bacterial SSU rRNA
Rfam family: Archaeal small subunit ribosomal RNA
Source: RNAcentral
CCCUAUGGGGUGCAGCAGUCGCGAAAACUCCGCAAUACGCGAAAGCGUGACGGGGCUAUCCCGAGUGCCGUCCGCUGAGGAUGGCUUUUCCCUAGUGUAUAAAGCUGGGGGAAUAAGGAGAGGGCAAGCCUGGUGUCAGCCGCCGCGGUAAUACCAGCUCUCCGAGUGGUGGGGAUGCUUAUUGGGCCUAAAGCAUUCGUGGCCGGUUGGGCAAGUCCUCCGUUAAAUCCAGCGAUUCAAUCGUUGGACUGCAGGGGAUACUGUCCGGCUAGGGGGCGGAAGAGGCCGACGGUAUUCUCGGGGUAGGGGUGAAAUCCUAUAAUCCCGGGAGGACCACCAGUGGCGAAGGCUGUCGGCUAGAACGCGCCCGACGGUGAGGGAUGAAAGCUGGGGGAGCGAACCGGAUUAGAUACCCGGGUAGUCCCAGCUGUAAACGAUGCAGGCUAGGUGUUGGCGCGGCUACGUGCCGCUCCAGUGCCGCAAGGAAGCCGUUAAGCCUGCCGCCUGGGAAGUACGGCCGCAAGGCUGAAACUUAAAGGAAUUGGCGGGGGAGCACCACAAGGGGUGAAGCUUGCGGUUUAAUUGGAGUCAACGCCGGAAAUCUCACCGGGGGCGACAGCAGGUUGAAGGCCAGAUUGAAAGUCUUGCCAGACAAGCUGAGAGGAGGUGCAUGGCC